CACAACAGGCAGAACUACACAUGAGAUCAACAACGAAUAUGAACCAUCACAACUCAGAACUCUGGACUAAACAUCCUAGUAUACUAGUGUAUGACUGACUGACUGACUCUCAUAUAUGUAUAAAAUGUGUUAUUAUAAAAACUAUUUUAAACUUGUUUCUCAUCUCACAUUUCAGAACCUUCCCAUAACGCCAACGGGUAGAACUGCAUCCAAACAUCCGACCCUCCAUAGAAUAUAUUCUGCUGCUCGUCUGCUUUCACUCUGCUGUCACACACACACACACACACACACACACACACACACACACACACACAGUAUUUCAAGAGAAAGCCACAGAUUGUUUCCUUCAGGUGGAAACAUGAGCUGAAAACAGGAUAAACGUGACAAUUUGUCAACAAAGUUGUUUUGAAACAAAAAUCAGUGUCAGAUUCAUUUAAUAUAAUAAAAUCUAAAGAUCAGAUUUCCACUUGAUCAAAGCUCAAAUGAUUGAAAUGAAAGUCACAGCUGCAGCAGCUUCUGAUCCUGUGGUCACAGCUGAAGAAGCAGCUUCUGAUCCUGUGGUCACAGCUGAAGCAGCUUCUGAUCCUGUGGUCACAGCUGAAGCAGCUUCUGAUCCUGUGGUCACAGCUGAAGCAGCUUCUGAUCUGUGGUCACAGCGUGCAGCAGCUUCUGAUCCUGCGGUCACAGCUGCAGCAGCUUCUGAUCCUGUGGUCACAGCUGAAGCAGCAUCUGAUCCUGUGGUCACAGCUGAAGCAGCUUCUGAUCCUGUGGUCACAGCUGAAGAAGCAGCUUCUGAUCCUGUGGUCACAGCUGAAGCAGCUUCUGAUCCUGUGGUCACAGCUGAAGCAGCUUCUGGUCCUGUGGUCACAGCUGAAGCAGCUUCUGGUCCUGUGGUCACAGCUGAAGCAGCCGCUCGGCUCCAUCAUCAGAUUCAAUCAUCUCAGUGUGUUUCUGCUGUGCUCACAUCGUAUUUUAACUUCUGUGAUAUAAAUUAAACUGUGGACAUUAAUGUGUUAAUCUGCUGUUAUAACUGGCUGUAUACUGUAUAUAUACAACAUGGUGUGAGGAGCUCAUUGUGACUGAUUUCUGUUAUUUUCUGUUUAUUAAAGCUUCAGCAAAG
RNAcentral lists this long non-coding RNA (1120 nucleotides) under Sparus aurata (gilthead seabream). Its description in RNAcentral is "lncRNA (ENSSAUG00010016248.1)". The record is from RNAcentral. Lineage: Eukaryota; Metazoa; Chordata; Actinopteri; Spariformes; Sparidae.